AUUGAACGCUGGCGGCAUGCUUUACACAUGCAAGUCGAACGGUAACAGGCCUUCGGGUGCUGACGAGUGGCGCACGGGUGAGUAAUGCAUCGGAACGUGCCCAGAGGGGGGGGAUAACGCAGCGAAAGCUGUGCUAAUACCGCAUGUGAUCUGAGGAUGAAAGCGGGGGACCAGGCAGCAAUGUUUGGCCUCGCGCCUUUGGAGCGGCCGAUGUCAGAUUAGGUAGUUGGUGGGGUAAAGGCCUACCAAGCCGACGAUCUGUAGCUGGUCUGAGAGGACGACCAGCCACACUGGGACUGAGACACGGCCCAGACUCCUACGGGAGGCAGCAGUGGGGAAUUUUGGACAAUGGGCGCAAGCCUGAUCCAGCAAUGCCGCGUGCGGGAAGAAGGCCUUCGGGUUGUAAACCGCUUUUGUACGGAACGAAAAGGUUCUGGCUAAUACCUGGGGCUGAUGACGGUACCGUAAGAAUAAGCACCGGCUAACUACGUG
RNAcentral lists this ribosomal RNA (492 nucleotides) under uncultured bacterium. Its description in RNAcentral is "partial 16S ribosomal RNA". It matches the Rfam family "Bacterial small subunit ribosomal RNA", at positions 30 to 507 of the family's 1533-position model. The record is from RNAcentral.